UUAACAAUUUAUUCUAUUCGUUUCCAAUAAAAGCUUUGCGUCUGCCUUACUCGACCUCUGCCUCCAUUCUACUCUCUCUCCGCUCUGCGUUAUCCGGCUGGUACUCUUUGGCGAACGACCGCCCGUGGAACAUCCAAGUUAUUAAGAGUAUUACAUAUGGAGGGGCAGACUACUCAUUCGAAUGCAUAGGUGAUAUUGGAAUGAUAACCACCGCAUUGCAGUCUUGUUGCGAUGAAUGCGGUUUGACAGUUACACUUGGAGUGCCAAAAGUAAAACCAGAAAUAACAGCUCAAUGCAAUGUUUCUUACGGGAAGAACAUUGAAAGGAACCCUAUAUGGAGGAUGGAAACCCAAAUCUGACCUUCCUUCAUUAGUGGACAUGUACACUGAGAAGUACCAUAGGUGGCUUUUAUUGAAUGCUAUAUGCUAGCAUGGGUUGCUAAGAGUACUAGUUUUUGAUGCAGUAAAGACCCUGAACAUAUUUGGUCCAUACUAAAAUUCUUAAUUUAGAUGUACCAAAGGACGUGUCAGACAUACAAUUUUGUGUUUCAGUUUGGAUCGCUAUAUUCAUCCUGGAAUUCUGUAUGAGGGGUAAUCCGGAUUGAUGAGUACAUAACGCACAACCUGCAGUUUGAGGAAAUCAACAAAGCUUUUAGUCCUCAUGAAAGAGGGCAAGUGUUUGCGUUGUGUCAUCCACAUGCCAAACUGAUAUUGUCUCAAACUGAUGAACAACAUGUUUGUCAGGUACAGGCUUGGUUGCUAUGAUGAACGCACACCAAAUUUCUGCACAAUGAAAAUUUAUUUUUAUUGUAUCCUGAAACAAAACAUUGCACCUGGGAUCUGCGACUGGUAAUCAAAAUUUGUGUUUAUGUCAACAUGCAUAUUUUGCUCAUCAGAUCAACUUUAUAAUCACUCGUAUGUUUGGAGAAACCAAAUAUCAUUUGAAGGUUAGAAAAUAAUUAAGGAAAUGAGAAAUAACAAUAAAAAAAUAUAUAUAUAUAUUAACACCAUCUAAAUCCAAAACUAAAUGCAAAAGCGUUGCUAGGCUUAUGUUAAAGAAUUAGCAACAAUUUAGUAGGGGACCAAUACAGUAAGCAUUUAUUUCUAUUUAUUUAAAGAAUAGGAUAAAUAACAAAAUUUUUAAUUUUCUUUUUUUGUGAAAAAAGAGUUUUACCAUAUUCAUAUUGUUACAUGUGCUUGAAGACGCUGUGAAGGCACAUGGCCCCUACCAAGUCCGAUAACAAUUUUUCUCUUUAUUGGUAUGUAACCAGUGAAACUGUUUUCAUAUGCCAAGCAAAGCCCAACUGAAAAAAAUGUAUUUAGGACAAACUAAAGAAACGUACAACAAAACCCUUUCUGAAGCAGGGCCAAUUGAAUCCAGACAAAAGAAGAAAAAACAUUUAUAAUAAUAGUUUCUUGCUUAGCUGAACUAACCCACAUAUAGUAGACAUGUAGAGCUUGUAUAUGUGAUUAUUAGGCGAGGAAUGGUGAGAAGCAACCCAAAUCACCUCCUAUCCUAUGAGCAACAGAGUCCCUUAAACAAAGCCCUGAAAACGAAGAUUCUAAGGCUAUUAAUAUGUUAUCCAAGGCUUUCUUGUAAAGCUUUUCAAUUCAUACUUUUGAGUAAGAAGAACAACAUCAAUCGAUAUUA
Molecule: RNA transcript, 1650 nt
Organism: Ziziphus jujuba (common jujube)
Lineage: Eukaryota; Viridiplantae; Streptophyta; Magnoliopsida; Rosales; Rhamnaceae
Gene name: NDR1/HIN1-like protein 6
Exons: 5
Source: RefSeq, a predicted model, not a curated record